Suncus etruscus (white-toothed pygmy shrew) is the source of this 89-nucleotide small nucleolar RNA. RefSeq annotates it as small nucleolar RNA SNORD86. NCBI's taxonomy places the organism in Eukaryota, Metazoa, Chordata, Mammalia, Eulipotyphla, Soricidae. The record is from RefSeq and is a predicted model, not a curated record. The transcript has a single exon.
AUUCACUGUGAUGGCUGACCAGGGCUCCCUGACCUAUACCGGCUUCUCUGCUGUGGGGAUGAUGGGCAAGUCCUGGUGUCUGAGUGAUU